Molecule: non-coding RNA, 73 nt
Organism: Potamilus streckersoni
Lineage: Eukaryota; Metazoa; Mollusca; Bivalvia; Unionida; Unionidae
Source: the annotation of a GenBank genome assembly
GCUCCGGUGACCUAAUGGUUAGAGCGUUCGCCUCAGAUGCAGGAUGUUUCGGGUUCGAACCCCGGCCGUGUCG